GGGAAGCUGAAACAGCAGGAAAGCAUGGAGGUGGCUCUCCACUAACUGGAGCCAACCUCAUUCAAUCCUGAAACGUGGUUGAAAGCUGACUCUGUGCCAGGCCCUAAUCAGUGUGCUGAGAAUGAAACAGAAGUCUGCUCUCUCAGAGCUUACCUCCUCCCGAGAGAAGACAGACAAUGAGCAAGUAACCCUAGGGUGGACAGAAGAGGCCUCCUGAUAAAGUGACAUUUGAGCAGACACCUGAAGGAGGUGAGGAAGAGAGCCCUGCAGAUACCCAGGGGAAGAGCUGAAAAGUACAAGCAACAGCGAAUGCAAAGGUCCUGAGGCAGGAGCGUGCUUGACUUGGCACAAGAACAGCAAACACCAAGCAGAAUGCCUGGCCUGUAUUAGACCCCGUAAACGCCUGAACUACAUACAUGGCAGAGAUGAAGCACACAGUCUCGGAAAUCUGGCUGUGCAGGUUCAAAUUCCAGUUCUCCUACUUAUCUCUUGGUGAUAAUAGAGUGACAUCCUUCAGAGACCUCAUUCAUGACCAAGAUGAAGAUGAGGAGGAGGAGGAAGGCCAGAGGUGCCAAAGAGCAUGGAGCUGUAGCUGUGGAGCGAGUGACCAAGAGCCCUGGAGAGACCAGUAAACCGAGACCAUUUGCAGGAGGUGGCUACCGCCUUGGGGCAGCACCAGAGGAAGAGUCUGCCUAUGUGGCAGGAGAAAAGAGGCAGCAUUCCAGCCAAGAUGUUCAUGUAGUAUUGAAACUC
RNAcentral lists this small RNA (753 nucleotides) under Pan troglodytes (chimpanzee). RNAcentral's name for it is "processed transcript". The record is from RNAcentral. Lineage: Eukaryota; Metazoa; Chordata; Mammalia; Primates; Hominidae.